UAGCACACACUUCCGACAACUGCUGUGCCUGUGCAAUGGAAAAUAGCCUUUAAAGGUUUCUUCAUGAACUGAUUGCAUUGGAUGGAUAUUUAAUGCUGUGAAACACGAUAGGAUUAACACAAUGGUGGAUUUUUUGAAUAGAAUUUGUCUUAACAUUCCUCUUUGUGUAGAGGCUUUAUUUUCUCCCUUACAUUUUUUGCUAACCAGCUCAGGUUUUUUUGGUGGACAUGAGUUGAAUCUGAAGAAAUCUGCUCAAGACCGUGUUAUAAGACAGUGCUAGCUAAUGGAGCUGGAAAGAGUGUACUCUGCUGACAGAGCAUCUGCUUGGAUGAUCAGAGUUUUGAGUUAGAGUUGGUGAUCAUCCAUGGCAUUGUCUAGAAGGAAUAAAAUAUCAUGGCCUUAACACAAAAGGUGCUGUGAUAGAAUAUGAAUUGAUUUCAGAGACUGAACCUGAGCACCAUACUGAAGGAGUAGCAGCCAAAUAACUGCCUAGGAUACUGAUGGUUAUGAAGACUGUUUCAAAUGACUGGAUCUUUGAAAGCUUCAGCGUGCCUUAGUUUCUAGGAUCAGCAGUAGUUCUCCUCUCACUUGGCCUUGCAGCUAAAAGGAGAAAUCUCUUAAUUUCUGUGAACACUUACACAUUUCAGUAAUUCUUUUCCCCAAGUAUAACCAUUCAAGGGGGAGCAAAUUUGGAUGGAUUUUACAACUCCAGAGCCAUUGUGAUGAAAGGGUUAUUUCUGUGGUUAUUUAAUAACUGUAGUAGUAAGCAGUGAAUCCUCACACACUUCGACAAUUUCACAUGCACUUGUACCUCAUCAUUUCCCUUUUCGAGAGUAGUUUGUAGCCCGUCCUCCACACCAACCCCAAUAAUCUUAAAAGAAUUAAUCUGAGUAAUCUCAACUGUAGGAAGGGUGCUCUCCCUGAGAAGUUUCUCCCACAAAGCUUCGGUGCUGUUCCUUUAAGGUGGUUUAGAUAGUCAUGAACGCUUUACGCUGGGUGUAGUGAUCAUCUGUUAAGUUUAAGGUCUUUCUCAUUUAAAGAAACAUUCCUCAGUGUAAUAUUUGAGAGGAAUCUUUCCUCUUGCUAGGUUAAAAUUACGGUUUGUACUCUUUGUCCCACUCAUUUAUGAAAAUAGACUUUUAAAACUGUCCAGCACCAAUGGUUUGAAUAUUUCCAUUUACUAUAUGACAUGCUUUCCAUUUUUAUGUCCUAGAAGAGGUUGGAAGUUAGGGAAUACUACUUUUGAGGUUCAACUUCAUUAUCUUCUGCACUGGAAUGUAUUUGGGCCACGAGAACUAGAAGAAAGAACGAGUAUGAAUGUGUUUUUUUUCUAGUGAAUGUAUUUUAACCACAGUGUCCUAAACAGAAUUAGAGAGCAAAAAGUGCAUAUUCAUGAACUUUGUGGUUGGGGAGCAGUUGUAUAUGUUGGUGUAUUCAUGAGUUUGGCAGUGGGGAGGAUCACUGAAGAGAGAUUGCUCAGAGAGUUUUGAAGUUUAAAACAUUUUUGACCACCUUUGGCUUGGGAGGAUGGAGCUCCUUCUAGAACUGGAAGUGAAAUAAACUUUUCAAGCAAUAGCAAUGAGUGGGUCCCACCAACAGUUCCAGGACUUGGAACACUUAAACAGAAGGAAAUGCAGAAGCAGCUUUCUCAGUUGCUUCAUGAACUUCCACAAGGCUGAUUCUGGCUUCAAGAUGGAGCAUUGGAGUUUUGUUUUUUUUAAGAACCUGCAUUUGCGCUUUGUGUGUUUUGUUUUUGUUUUUAUUUGGGGACCUCAUUGGAAAGAGCUUCUGAACUCUUUCCUUUGUGAACUUUGUCCCACUGUGUUCCUGUAAAGUCCUUUUUCUUUCAUAAUGUAAGUUACAUUUUCAUUAAGUCCCAUCACAUCUUCUUUACUGUAAAAAUAUUAAAAGGCUGUUUCCAAAUGGGACAGCUAAAUGAAGUUCUAAUUAUUGCAGACAUAUUUUUGAGAUGUAAAAAAAUUUAAAAUUCAGUAAGUCUUAGAGGCGAGUGAGGAAUAAAAUGGAUGUAAACAUUUACAUGGGAUGCAUUAGAAAUCUGUGUGUAUUGUCUUUUGGUUGAAACAAAUUAUGAACAGUGACUAAUAAUAAAAAGUCAAUACUCAAUGAUUUAAAAUUU
Molecule: long non-coding RNA, 2137 nt
Organism: Heterocephalus glaber (naked mole-rat)
Lineage: Eukaryota; Metazoa; Chordata; Mammalia; Rodentia; Bathyergidae
Source: Ensembl